This 626-nucleotide ribosomal RNA is filed under the name uncultured bacterium. RNAcentral describes it as "bacterial SSU rRNA". It matches the Rfam family "Bacterial small subunit ribosomal RNA", at positions 40 to 665 of the family's 1533-position model. The record is from RNAcentral.
GGGCGUGCUCCUACAUGCUGAUCGAGCGAGAAAGCUUCUUCGGAAGUGAGUACAGCGGCGAACGGGUGAGUUACGCGUGAGAAUCUACCUUUUAGUGAAGGAUACCCUUGAGAAAUCGAGGUUAAUACUGCAUAAGUCCCUUCGGGGAGAAAGAUGGCCUCUUUGCUGUCGCUAAAAGAUGAGCUUGCGUGCUAUUAGCUAGUUGGUAGGGUAAAGGCCUACCAAGGCGAUGAUGGCUAGCCGGCCUGAGAGGGUGUACGGCCACACUGGAACUUAGACACGGUCCAGACUCCUACGGGAGGCAGCAGUGAGGAAUCUUGCGCAAUGGGCGAAAGCCUGACGCAGCGACGCCGCGUGGAGGAUGAAGGUCUUUGGAUUGUAAACUCCUGUUAAGUGGGAAGAAACGUCUGUUUUUAAUAGAAGCAGAUAAUGACGGUACCAUUAGAGAAAGCACCGGCUAACCUCGUGCCAGCAGCCGCGGUAUACGAGGGGUGCAAGCGUUAUUCGGAAUUAUUGGGCGUAAAGGGUGCGUAGGCGGCAUAUAAAGUCAACUGUUAAAUUCCUCGGCCUAAACGAGGCUCUGCAGUAGAUACUGAAUGUGCUAGAGGGUGGAAGAGAGAAGUGGA